AGCCAGACGUGGGCUGAGAGUGAAGAGUAUAGGGGCCCUGCUCUGGUUCAGUGGAGGGAACAGUGCAAGGGUCCAGCCCUCAGCUGGAAAGAAUGGUCCCUCUCAAGGAGUGGGCACUGCUCUCCUUUGUUUGACCAUCCCGCAGAGAAAGCGUGAGGGAGCCACAGCCAGCUGGUGUGGUCUCAGGAAAGGCACAGACCUCACAGGCGGACAGACUGGGUUGAAACCUCAGUUCUGUGUUGUCUCGAGUGUGCCUUGGGAAGGAAUGGGGGCCAUGGUUCUGGUCACCGGCUAGUGCAAGGCGGUUUACACCUGGCUAGCUUAGAAGAAUGAGGCCGUGGGUACAGGAACUGCUCCAGGCGAGACUACCUCCCCAGGGAAACAGCACCAGAAAGAAGGUGUACAGUUUUCAUCAGAUUCUCAAAGUUGUCUUAAUCUUCAGCAUGUUAAGAAUCACUGUCUUGGAGAUAAGCUAUAUCGUCCACCUCAUUUCACCAGUCGAGAAACUGCCCACCGCCUCCCAAACCUGAAUGAUUAAGCAACUUGCCUGACAUUCUCCAUGAGUGUAAGGCAGAUCCCAGGCAUGGCCAAAAGUCGGUAGACUUUCAGGAACAUAGGAAUUAGAACCAUCCCCACCAACACCAGUAUCCUCUGGACCUUUCAGGCCAACGAUAGACACUAAAUUUAGUUUUUAAAAAUAUUGGUUUUCACCAUAACUUGUAAGUGGCUCACUGACAUUGUUGAGGAGGCAGGAUUGCAUCAGAGAAACACUGCAUUACUCGGGUUUACCAUCACCCACUUGGCCCUGAUUUAGGACAGAGGCUGCGUAUGUGCACGAAUAAACACUCCCUUCCUCCUGUACUGCAUCCUGCUCACGAGUUUGGUGCCUGUGGCAAGUGUUUGGUCUCCUUUAAUGAAGCCCUGGAGUUGGGGAGAUGCUGUCUCCUUUUGUUUCGUGGAGGAGUGCUGCCAUAUCUAGCCCUGAGAUCUGAAACCUCUACCACAGUUCUCGUCCAACACGGCUUUCAGGUGCGGGGCGUUUGCACAACAGUCUCUUGGACGAUAAUGGAGAAGAUAGAAUUUCACAGAUCAGAAGGAAGUGGCAUGAGUGGAAACCUGCAGAGGUUGAGUUUCCAUGCUCUUCCGCCCUCACCUCAUCUCCACCCCUCUCCGGGUCUGUCCGUGGGAUGCUUGUCCGCACACGUAACUACAAACUGCAAAGUCUGUAAGUAUUUGUUGUCAGCGAUCCACCAAUUAACAUGUAUUCUCCAUAUACAGUGUGUAAACUGCUUUGUCUUUAGCUAAGUGAGAGUAAAUAAAGUUGGAUUUAAAGGUUAAACUCUGUCAGCAGUUGCGUGCCCUUGAUUCUCUUUUCUGGCAAACCUGGGAAAAAUUGCCCAAUUCAUCCAUCUCGCUCUCCAAACAACGUGUUUAAUUAUCACUAACUCUAGGAGUUGAUGAAGUCCUUUCAUUCCAACACAUAAAUAUUUUUAUCAAUGGUUUUUCUAGUAAGACAGAAUUUUUACUUGUGUGAUUCGAUGACUUCUCACCCUUAGCCAAUGUCCCAACCACCCCUGUCAGGGUGACAGUUAAACAUGAUUUGCUUCUUGCUGUUUGAGUUGUCAUUUGGGGGACAUAGCACCUCUCUUCCUAGUUACUGUGUCUGGCAGAAGGAGUUU
This is a long non-coding RNA of Equus asinus (donkey), 1679 nucleotides long. The record is from Ensembl. NCBI's taxonomy places the organism in Eukaryota, Metazoa, Chordata, Mammalia, Perissodactyla, Equidae.